RNAcentral lists this transfer RNA (81 nucleotides) under Acropora cervicornis. RNAcentral's name for it is "tRNA-Thr". It matches the Rfam family "tRNA". Rfam says of the family: Transfer RNA (tRNA) molecules are approximately 80 nucleotides in length. Lineage: Eukaryota; Metazoa; Cnidaria; Anthozoa; Scleractinia; Acroporidae. The record is from RNAcentral.
GGCUUCAUAGCUCAGUUGGUUAGAGCGUCGCACUGGUAUCGUGAGGUCACGGGUUCAAAGUUUCAAACCCCGUUGGAGUCC